This 467-nucleotide ribosomal RNA is filed under the name uncultured bacterium. RNAcentral's name for it is "partial 16S ribosomal RNA". It matches the Rfam family "Bacterial small subunit ribosomal RNA", at positions 28 to 507 of the family's 1533-position model. The record is from RNAcentral.
GACGAACGCUGGCGGCGUGCUUAACACAUGCAAGUCGAACGGAAAGGCCUCUUUCGGGGGGUACUCGAGUGGCGAACGGGUGAGUAACACGUGAGUAACCUGCCCUUGACUUUGGGAUAACUUCAGGAAACUGGGGCUAAUACCGGAUAGGAGCUCCUGCUGCAUGGUGGGGGUUGGAAAGUUUCGGCGGUUGGGGAUGGACUCGCGGCUUAUCAGCUUGUUGGUGGGGUAGUGGCUUACCAAGGCUUUGACGGGUAGCCGGCCUGAGAGGGUGACCGGCCACAUUGGGACUGAGAUACGGCCCAGACUCCUACGGGAGGCAGCAGUGGGGAAUAUUGCACAAUGGGUGGAAGCCUGAUGCAGCAACGCCGUGCGCGGGAUGACGGCCUUCGGGUUGGAAACCGCUUUCGCUCAUGACGAAGCUUUGUGUGACGGUAGUGGGUAAAGAAGCACCGGCUAACUACGUG